GUCAAGGUCAGUUGAAAGCACGCUGCUUGCUGUGCCUCUGUGGAGGAUUAUCAAUUUCAAAACUAGAAUUGCCGAAUAACCAUAAAAAAACACAAUGUCUGGUGUGGACGAGAAUGCCUUGUUGAACGACCCUCAAAUACAGCAGUAUGCCCAACAGAUGUCAGCACAGUCACAGGUGAUGGCCCGCAUCCUAAAGCUCUCAGAGAACUGUUUUGAUCUGUGCGUGUCUAAGAUGAGUUCCUCCCUUGGCGGGAGGGUGGAAACCUGCAUUCAGAACUGUGCCGACCGUGCAGUGGAUACAACGCGAGUCAUAGUGAAGAAUUUUCAGAUAAAGGCAGAACAGGCCUCUUCUUCUUCUGACCUGCCAGAACUUAAUUAGCAUUUCAUCUCUUAAGAAAACAUUCUGAGGAAUUGUUAUCUGAAGUGAACAUACAGUGAUUAUAACAUCCUGGAGUGGGCCUUGGAGUACAAGGAAGGAAUGUACAGCAGGUUUUUCUAGUGUUACACAGGACCUGUUAUAUUUAAAGAGAAUUUGCAAACUUAAAGUGGAUAGCGUAACUCCUCCAUAUAUGACAGAUUAUAAGCUACUGUGCACUCCAUCCUCAGGACUAUCAACAAAGUGGGACAUUAUGGACAUUUCCUGUUAUAUGUAUUAAUUGUUGUAGUAUGCUUUAAUAUAUUUGUUUACUGAAUUUAAUUAAUCGAAACAGGGCAGAGUUAAAAUGUAAUUCAAAACAAAAUGGCACCAUGUAAGAUCUGCACGUGUAACAAAUACGCUUUUAAAUUUAAACAGUUGUCAUAUGUCACUUCAAUCAUCUGAAAUAUAAUUUAAGGAAGUGAAGGGAGCAAAUUUUGUACAUCUUUCAGCUUAUUAGCACUAACACACUAGUGCUUUUCUACAAAAAUUUUUGUACUGCAAAUUUCAACUUUCAAGACCUUAAUUAUUUUCUAUUUCAAAAGUAAACAAGGACAAAGUUAA
Molecule: long non-coding RNA, 979 nt
Organism: Lingula anatina
Lineage: Eukaryota; Metazoa; Brachiopoda; Lingulata; Lingulida; Lingulidae
Source: RefSeq, a predicted model, not a curated record